Molecule: non-coding RNA, 519 nt
Organism: Chrysemys picta bellii (western painted turtle)
Lineage: Eukaryota; Metazoa; Chordata; Testudines; Emydidae
Source: the annotation of a RefSeq genome assembly
AUGUCUGCUCACAUCACAGGGUUUAAGAAGCAAGCGGAGAAGGCACCACUGAGUUCAGAGAGCCCUGUGGCUGAGUGUGCUGUUCCUAGGAUGGCUUGGGUCACCACACUGCUGGUUCUGGUAGCCUGUUGGGCAGGUUCCAGCUACCAGUUCACUUUGACUCAGCCACUGAGUAUGUCAGUGACUCCAGGAGAAACUGCCCAACUCGCAUGUGUUCUGAGCAGUGGAGACAGCAUCAGCAGUAGAUACAUACGCUGGUACCAGCAGAAGCAAGGGGAGAAACCAAGAUACCUGCUGUAUUACAAGGAUGACUCUACCCAGGGUAAAGGCUCUGGUGUCCCUGACAGGUUCACUGCCUCUAAAGACACUUCCCGGAACACCUGCUUUUUAACGAUCAGCAGGGCUGAAGCGGAGGAUGAUGCUGAUUACUAUUGCACAGGCUGGGACAGCACAGCUAACCAGUACACAGUGAUACAGCUGCAUUGGGAAAGAGGAACAAAAAUCCCCUUUCACCCAUAG